This 445-nucleotide ribosomal RNA is filed under the name uncultured bacterium. Its description in RNAcentral is "bacterial SSU rRNA". It matches the Rfam family "Bacterial small subunit ribosomal RNA", at positions 331 to 793 of the family's 1533-position model. The record is from RNAcentral.
CCAGACUCCUACGGGAGGCAGCAGUGGGGAAUAUUGCACAAUGGGGGAAACCCUGAUGCAGCGACGCCGCGUGAGCGAUGAAGUAUUUCGGUAUGUAAAGCUCUAUCAGCAGGGAAGAAAAUGACGGUACCUGACUAAGAAGCCCCGGCUAACUACGUGCCAGCAGCCGCGGUAAUACGUAGGGGGCAAGCGUUAUCCGGAUUUACUGGGUGUAAAGGGAGCGUAGACGGCGAUGCAAGCCAGAUGUGAAAGCCCGGGGCUCAACCCCGGGACUGCAUUUGGAACUGUAUAGCUAGAGUGUCGGAGAGGCAGGCGGAAUUCCUAGUGUAGCGGUGAAAUGCGUAGAUAUCAGGAGGAACACCGGCGGCGAAGGCGGCCUGCUGGACCGUGACUGACGUUGAGGCUCGAGAGCGUGGGGAGCAAACAGGAUUAGAUACCCUUGUAC